This 881-nucleotide ribosomal RNA is filed under the name uncultured Bacillota bacterium. Its description in RNAcentral is "SSU rRNA". It matches the Rfam family "Bacterial small subunit ribosomal RNA", at positions 552 to 1434 of the family's 1533-position model. Lineage: Bacteria; Bacillati; Bacillota. The record is from RNAcentral.
UAUUGGGCGUAAGGGAGCGCAGGCGGUUGGAAUAGUCUGAUGUGAAAGCCCACGGCUUAACCGUGGAGGGUCAUUGGAAACUGUCCAACUUGAAUGCAGAAGAGGUAAGUGGAAUUCCAUGUGUAGCGGUGAAAUGCGUAGAUAUAUGGAGGAACACCAGUGGCGAAGGCGACUUACUGGUCUGUGAUUGACGCUGAGGCUCGAAAGCAUGGGUAGCGAACAGGAUUAGAUACCCUGGUAGUCCACGCCGUAAACGAUGAGUGCUAAGUGUUGGAGGGUUUCCGCCCUUCAGUGCUGGAGUUAACGCAUUAAGCACUCCGCCUGGGGAGUACGGCCGCAAGGCUGAAACUCAUAGGAAUUGACGGGGACCCGCACAAGCGGUGGAGCAUGUGGUUUAAUUCGACGCAACGCGAAGAACCUUACCAGCUCUUGACAUCUUCUGUUCACUCUAGAGAUAGAGCUUCCCCUUCGGGGGCAGAAUGACAGGUGGUGCAUGGUUGUCGUCAGCUCGUGUCGUGAGAUGUUGGGUUAAGUCCCAUAACGAGCGCAACCCUUAUUGUUAGUUGCCAGCAUUCAGUUGGGCACUCUAGCGAGACUGCCGGUGAUAAACCGGAGGAAGGUGGGGAUGACGUCAAAUCAUCAUGCCCCUUAUGAGCUGGGCUACACACGUGCUACAAUGGACGGUACAACGGGUAGCGAGGGCGCGAGCCUUAGCAAAUCCUAAUAAGCCGUUCUCAGUUCGGAUUGUUCUCUGCAACUCGAGAGCAUGAAGCCGGAAUCGCUAGUAAUCGCGGAUCAGAAUGCCGCGGUGAAUACGUUCCCGGGUCUUGUACACACCGCCCGUCACACCACGAGAGUUCGUAACACCCGAAGCCGGUUGG